CCAGACUCCUACGGGAGGCAGCAGUUAAGAAUAUUCCGCAAUGGACGAAAGUCUGACGGAGCGACGCCGCGUGGAUGAAGAAUGCCGAAAGGUUGUAAAAUCCUUUUAAGCCUGAGGAAUAAGCACAGUAGGGAAUGAUUGUGUGGUGACUGUAGGGCUUGAAUAAGCACCGGCAAAUUACGUGCCAGCAGCCGCGGUAACACGUAAGGUGCGAGCGUUGUUCGGAAUUAUUGGGCGUAAAGGGCAUGUAGGCGGAUGAGCAAGCUUGGUGUGAAAUGCUACAGCUUAACUGUGGGACAGCAUUGAGAACUGCACAUCUUGAAUUACUGAAGGGUAACUAGAAUUCCACGUGUAGGGGUGAAAUCUGUAGAUAUGUGGAAGAAUACCAAUGGCGAAGGCAAGUUACCGGCAGAUAAUUGACGCUGAGGUGCGAAAGUGCGGGGAGCGAACAGGAUUAGAUACCCUGGUAGUCCGCACAGUAAACGAUGUACACUAGGUGUCUGGCAACAAAGCUGGGUGCCAAAGCAAACGUGGUAAGUGUACCGCCUGGGGAGUAUGCCCGCAAGGGUGAAACUCAAAGGAAUUGACGGGGGCCCGCACAAGAAGG
RNAcentral lists this ribosomal RNA (607 nucleotides) under uncultured bacterium. RNAcentral describes it as "bacterial SSU rRNA". It matches the Rfam family "Bacterial small subunit ribosomal RNA", at positions 331 to 933 of the family's 1533-position model. The record is from RNAcentral.